Molecule: ribosomal RNA, 467 nt
Filed under: uncultured bacterium
Lineage: Bacteria
Description: bacterial SSU rRNA
Rfam family: Bacterial small subunit ribosomal RNA
Source: RNAcentral
AUUGAACGCUGGCGGCAGGCCUAACACAUGCAAGUCGAGCGGCAGCACGGGAAGCUUGCUUCCUGGUGGCGAGCGGCGGACGGGUGAGUAAUGCAUAGAAAUCUGCCCGGUAGUGGGGGAUAACCUGGGGAAACCCAGGCUAAUACCGCAUACGUCCUACGGGGGAAAGCAGGGGAUCUUCGGACCUUGCGCUAUCGGAUGAGUCUAUGUCGGAUUAGCUUGUUGGUGAGGUAAUGGCUCACCAAGGCGACGAUCCGUAGCUGGUCUGAGAGGAUGAUCAGCCACAUCGGGACUGGGACACGGCCCGAACUCCUACGGGAGGCAGCAGUGGGAAAUAUUGGACAAUGGGCGAAAGCCUGAUCAGCGACGCCGCGUGGAGGAUGACGGCCUUCGGGUUGUAAACUCCUUUCAGCGGGGAAGAAGCGAAAGUGACGGUACCUGCAGAAGAAGCACCGGCUAACUACGUG